UGGUGGUGCUGUUUGGAAAAUUUGAAAACAAUACGAUUGGCAAUUUAUUUGGAUUUCGAAGAUUCUGGUCCUGGCUGAAAUUUAGAGUAUUGCAGCUGUAGUCUGUAUACCAUACACUCAACAUGAAAAGGACUGUCAGGAUGCUGCAUAAAAUGGUCUUAGCUAGAGCCUAGAAUGUUAAUUUCUUGGGAAUAUGCUGCAAGGAACUGACGGGGAGCAGUUUUUCUUACCAAUCAUAGGUGAGACUUUUAAAUAGCUUCUUUUUAAAAAGAUUUUGUUGUCUUAUAUACAGUAUUUGCUGUCAAUAUGAAACUUAGCUAUGUUUCAAUUUCUAUGCUGUUUUAUGAUGUAAAUCUUAGAGAAAAGCAUUUUAAGAUAAAAACAAAUCACUAAGUUGAGUAAUUAUAUGUAUAAUUUGAGAUUGACCAAGUCAACAACUUCUUAUUUUUAUUUGCAGAAGCAGUAAGAGACAGCCAAAGAAGUACUCAAACACCUGACAUACCAAGAAAGAUCUAGAAGAAAAGAUUGGAACAGAUUGUAGCUUAAUUGUUCAAACUAUCAAAGUGAAUUUUAGCUGCACUUGAACUGUAUUUUUUAAAUAAAAUAUCUGAAGUAUUUAAUAUUGUCUUGAUAUUUUGUUAAACUUGGUAACUUUGCUUUAUAUCCAAAAAUUA
Molecule: long non-coding RNA, 674 nt
Organism: Ruditapes philippinarum (Manila clam)
Lineage: Eukaryota; Metazoa; Mollusca; Bivalvia; Venerida; Veneridae
Exons: 3
Source: RefSeq, a predicted model, not a curated record